Molecule: ribosomal RNA, 253 nt
Filed under: uncultured bacterium
Lineage: Bacteria
Description: partial 16S ribosomal RNA
Rfam family: Bacterial small subunit ribosomal RNA
Source: RNAcentral
UACAGAGGUCUCAAGCGUUGUUCGGAUUCAUUGGGCGUAAAGGGUGUGUAGGUGGCGCGCUAAGUCGGGUGUGAAAUUUCGGAGCUUAACUCCGAAACUGCAUUCGAUACUGGCGUGCUUGAGGACUGGAGAGGAGACUGGAAUUCCUGGUGUAGCGGUGAAAUGCGCAGAUAUCAGGAAGAACACCCGUGGCGAAAGCGGCUCUCUGGGACGGUACUGACGCUGAGACGCGAAAGCGUGGGGAGCAAACAGG